Molecule: ribosomal RNA, 130 nt
Filed under: Escherichia coli
Lineage: Bacteria; Pseudomonadati; Pseudomonadota; Gammaproteobacteria; Enterobacterales; Enterobacteriaceae
Description: partial 16S ribosomal RNA
Rfam family: Bacterial small subunit ribosomal RNA
Source: RNAcentral
UUAAAUUGAAGAGUUUGAUCAUGGCUCAGAUUGAACGCUGGCGGCAGGCCUAACACAUGCAAGUCGAACGGUAACAGGAAUCAGCUUGCUGAUUCGCUGACGAGUGGCGGACGGGUGAGUAAUGUCUGGG